UGCUACUUAGAGUCAACAGAGUGAAAGAAAACUUUACCACAAGGUAUGCAUUUUUAGAGCAUUGGUAGUGAAGUCACUUGUUGGCUGGAGCUCCCAUUCAAGUAGCGAAUUCUCAAAGCUUUAAAGUAGUAUAAUGGGUAUGGGGAUGCUUUGGUUUGAUUUUGAAUGAAUUUUGAAGAUGAAUAUAGGAUUGUUUGAGAUAUGGAUUUUAUGUGAAACAGUUGGAGUUAUUUUCUAGGUGUUUUAAAGGUUGUAUGAUAUGAAACCUAAUGCGAUUUAAAUAACAUUAACAAGUGCACUCAUUGUGUUCAAGUAAUAUAAUGAUGAGAAAGA
RNAcentral lists this unclassified non-coding RNA (333 nucleotides) under Hevea brasiliensis (rubber tree). The record is from RNAcentral. Lineage: Eukaryota; Viridiplantae; Streptophyta; Magnoliopsida; Malpighiales; Euphorbiaceae.